Molecule: ribosomal RNA, 253 nt
Filed under: uncultured bacterium
Lineage: Bacteria
Description: partial 16S ribosomal RNA
Rfam family: Bacterial small subunit ribosomal RNA
Source: RNAcentral
UACAGAGGUCUCAAGCGUUGUUCGGAUUUAUUGGGCGUAAAGGGUGCGUAGGUGGCGCCGUAAGUCGGGUGUGAAAUUUCGGAGCUUAACUCCGAAACUGCAUUCGAUACUGCGGUGCUUGAGGACUGGAGAGGAGACUGGAAUUCAUGGUGUAGCAGUGAAAUGCGUAGAGAUCAGGAGGAACACCGGUGGCGAAGGCAGGUCUCUGGGCCACUACUGACGCUGAGGAGCGAAAGCAUGGGUAGCGAACAGG